Molecule: long non-coding RNA, 730 nt
Organism: Neogale vison (American mink)
Lineage: Eukaryota; Metazoa; Chordata; Mammalia; Carnivora; Mustelidae
Exons: 4
Source: RefSeq, a predicted model, not a curated record
GUCCAUCAUUUGGCCGUUAGGUUUGGCUGCCCUGACUGACAUGCACCUCCUGAACAAGCCCGAGCUUUCUGCCUUCCGGCGCAGCACUUUGCUGCUUCCAAGGCAGCAUCUGGAAACCCAUGUAAAGGGCAGAGCCGCUAAUGGCUCUCACUCUGUUCCCCAGUGAGCAGUGCAGUCUCCAUCCCACUGCCCUGGAACUGCCCACUGAGAAGACCCUGAGUUUGCACAUGCUUGCACGUGCAUGCACACACCCCUCAAAGAAAGAAACCUCUUCUAGUGUUAGUAUCUUCUCACCUGGAGCAGGAUACACAGGUACAGAGGUACGAAGUCAGACAAUCAAGUGGCAGCUGAACACGGUUAAUGGAGACUUGAAAUUCUUCCGAGCCCUUCCGCUCAGGAGGCAGCUCCAGGCUGGGCAUGGUGGAGAGGGGCCACCGUGAUGAGCAAACAGCCCUGGAGAAGUGAGAGAGGCUGCACCCCGCCUGCCUGCUGAGAACACCCAUGCAGACGUUGGCCAGUGCCUGGGGGCUGGGCUCUCUCACAUGCCUCACACAUGCGAUCGGCCGGUUUUCCUUACAGAUCCAAGAAGCAGCUACUGAGGACUACACAUGUUGCAGGCCAUAGAUGCCCUACGCUGGACCCUUCCACGUACAGAUUUGGAUCCAUGGGCCCCCAAGCCGGUCACAGUGUUCACCAGAUUUUGCAGAUGGGAAAAGGCGGAGCUGCAGGA